This 505-nucleotide long non-coding RNA is filed under the name Gossypium raimondii (Peruvian cotton). Its description in RNAcentral is "long non-coding RNA (GRAI_LNC002208)". The record is from RNAcentral. Lineage: Eukaryota; Viridiplantae; Streptophyta; Magnoliopsida; Malvales; Malvaceae.
AGAUCUUCUUGUGACAACUAUUAUAGGAGAUGUAGGUGCGAUAUCUUCUCCUCACUACUAGACUAUUAUAGGAUAUGUAGAUGACGCGAGAAGGCAGUGGUCCCCAUGACCCAGAUUACGCGGAAUCUUGAUAGAGAUUGAAGUAGGGGAUUAUGGCUUUGCGGGGCCAUAAAUCCUGUAGCUCAAGAACAAGAGAUAAGUCUGAGUGGCCAAGUUUCCGGGUAGGGUGCGGAACGGCGCACACGCCAGCUUUAGAAUUCCACAUCGCAGGAAUUUGGUUGGAGGUUGUAACCCCGAUCCUUGUCCAGUAGGUCUCUUCAGCCCAACAUUCUUUUGACCGGAAGUGGCUCUGCUAACCAUCUAUUUGAUAAUUCUCAUCAGGUGGGAUGGCAAAAAAGUGUUGCAGCUGAAGAAAGAAUUGCCGUUCUAUAGUUUACAACUAUAGGGAAUUGCCGCCAACGGAGCGAGCGGGAUUCUAGGCACUUCAAGAUAUUCUGAGUGGGAC